UUAACCACUCGGGCAUCGACCC
This 22-nucleotide transfer RNA is filed under the name Convolvulus lineatus. RNAcentral's name for it is "partial tRNA-Tyr". RNAcentral also lists the same sequence under 3 other names. Lineage: Eukaryota; Viridiplantae; Streptophyta; Magnoliopsida; Solanales; Convolvulaceae. The record is from RNAcentral.